RNAcentral lists this ribosomal RNA (483 nucleotides) under uncultured bacterium. RNAcentral's name for it is "partial 16S ribosomal RNA". It matches the Rfam family "Bacterial small subunit ribosomal RNA", at positions 28 to 507 of the family's 1533-position model. The record is from RNAcentral.
GACGAACGCUGGCGGCGUGCUUAACACAUGCAAGUCGAACGCUGAAGCUCAGCUUUUGUUGGGUGGAUGAGUGGCGAACGGGUGAGUAACACGUGAGUAACCUGCCUCCUUCUUUGGGAUAACGCCCGGAAACGGGUGCUAAUACUGGAUAUUCACUCGUCUUCGCAUGGGGGUUGGUGGAAAGGGUUUUUCUGGUGGGGGAUGGGCUCGCGGCCUAUCAGCUUGUUGGUGGGGUGAUGGCCUACCAAGGCUUUGACGGGUAGCCGGCCUGAGAGGGUGACCGGUCACAUUGGGACUGAGAUACGGCCCAGACUCCUACGGGAGGCAGCAGUGGGGAAGAUUGCACAAUGGGCGCAAGCCUGAUGCAGCGACGCCGCGUGAGGGAUGGAGGCCUUCGGGUUGUGAACCUCUUUCGCUCAUGGUCAAGCCGCAACAAUGGUUGUGGUGAGGGUAGUGGGUAAAGAAGCGCCGGCUAACUACGUG